GAUGAACGCUGGCGGCGUGCCUAACACAUGCAAGUCGAGCGAAGCGCUUAAAUUAGAUUUCUUCGGAAUGACGAUUUUUGUGACUGAGCGGCGGACGGGUGAGUAACGCGUGGGUAACCUGCCUCAUACAGGGGGAUAACAGUUAGAAAUGACUGCUAAUACCGCAUAAGAUCCCAGCUUCGCAUGAAGCGGUGGUAAAAACUCCGGUGGUAUGAGAUGGACCCGCGUCUGAUUAGCUAGUUGGUAAGGUAACGGCUUACCAAGGCGACGAUCAGUAGCCGACCUGAGAGGGUGACCGGCCACAUUGGGACUGAGACACGGCCCAGACUCCUACGGGAGGCAGCAGUGGGGAAUAUUGCACAAUGGGGGAAACCCUGAUGCAGCGACGCCGCGUGAAGGAUGAAGUAUUUCGGUAUGUAAACUUCUAUCAGCAGGGAAGAAAGUGACGGUACCUGACUAAGAAGCCCCGGCUAACUACGUG
This 481-nucleotide ribosomal RNA is filed under the name uncultured bacterium. Its description in RNAcentral is "partial 16S ribosomal RNA". It matches the Rfam family "Bacterial small subunit ribosomal RNA", at positions 28 to 507 of the family's 1533-position model. The record is from RNAcentral.